RNAcentral lists this unclassified non-coding RNA (309 nucleotides) under Micromonospora sp. Its description in RNAcentral is "partial 16S-23S ribosomal RNA intergenic spacer". Lineage: Bacteria; Bacillati; Actinomycetota; Actinomycetes; Micromonosporales; Micromonosporaceae. The record is from RNAcentral.
GGAGCCCGCGGCCCACGAAUGUUGGGUCGGGGUGCUCGAAUGGCGGAGACACUGGCAAGUUUUGCCCUGGCAACGGCCGGCGGCGCUUAGUACAGCCAUCUUCGGGUGGUGGGAACGGAUGCUGUUGGUGCGGCUGGGGGAGAAUGUGAGCACCCUGUUGGGUCCUGAAGGAACAACCGUUGUGGUUGUUGUUUCAGAGACGCGCCGGCCUCCUGUGUGGGGGCUGGAAGUCUGCCAGGCAUGGCCUGGCCUCACAUACCGCCAACUGUUGUUGGGUUUGGUGUGGGGCGGAUCGGGUUGUGGGUUGGU